RNAcentral lists this long non-coding RNA (2077 nucleotides) under Aquilegia coerulea. RNAcentral's name for it is "long non-coding RNA (ACOE_LNC001544)". Lineage: Eukaryota; Viridiplantae; Streptophyta; Magnoliopsida; Ranunculales; Ranunculaceae. The record is from RNAcentral.
AUAAUUGCAAAUUGCCAUUUUAAAGAUUAUUUGUUGGUGAAUUGUAAGCGAUCAUAGAUACCAGGUUAUAUUUCUCAUUGCUUCCUUGAAUGCUUUAGUGUUGUUAUUGUGUGUUUUUGUAUAUACGCAUUUUGUUGCCAUUAAAUUGAUUGUUAACAAUAAAUGCAAGGUUGCAUUUUAUUUUUAUUUUUUUGUGCUUGGUUCAAUACCCAUAAUGGAUGUAGCAAUUUAAUAGGAUACGGGUAGCAAACUACUCCUAAUUAUUGGUGGGAUUGUAGAGAGUAUGAUCAUGAAAGUUUCAACUUAUCAUCUCUAAUUUUGGUAGCAAAAUACCUUUGUAGCUAUUCGGUAGCAAAUUUUAUUUAUUUGAAGUUAUUGACUGAUUGUAGUGAUGCUUUUUGUAUGAUCAUGAGAGGGACAUAUAUCUAAUUUUGAUGGAGCAGCUAGAUUCGUAAUAUAGUAUAGUUUCACGGGCUAUCCCGAUAAAGACUCAGAGUGAGUCUUUGUGUCAUGUUUUUAAUUGUUUCAGCAAUUCAAUAUCUUAGUGUGAAUAUUUUAUUAUAAUCAAAAUUGUAGGGAAGAUUGUGGUAACAAGAUGGAUCAGUUUCUGCAAAGAUGCUUCUACCAUUCAGGUCAGUAUGGUUCUGAUGAGUAUUUCUUGGAACUGCGUAAUAUAUCUAUUAAAAAAUACUACUUUCGCAGUUCUUUUUUUUCCUGGAAUGUUGUUUUUUAGUGUUGAUAAUGUGAUAUUUGAACCCGACGAUGCAUGAUUUAAGCAUCCUGAUCAGGAAUGUAUCUAUUUGACAUCUCAAAAUGAUGCCCUCACUGUUAUAUCACUUCGAACAUCAUUCUUAGCUUCAUUUUGUAUUAAACUACUUAAAUUUGUAUUUGUGUGUUCAAUUUGACUUAAAAUUUAUGGUGUUAUUAAUUACAAUUUUCCAGUUUGAAGGAAAAUUUUCAUUGAUUUGAAAGCCAACACAACUACAAGGUAAUUUCUUUAGUCUAUGCACAUCAAAUGAAACUUAAUAACAUCAUUGGUGCGUUAAUCCUUUAUUUGUGGAUACAAAAUUUAAUAAAGAUCGUAGUUAAUUUUACAUUAUAAUGCAUUUGCACAAACAUAAGAUUGCAGUUAAGUUGACAUUAUUAUUACAUUAUAACAAGGCGUCAGCUUUUUAACUAAUUUCGUGAGCUACCUAAUAAAGUUACAAUUCUUAAACAAUUAGAUUCUUAUAAAGAGAAUCCUAGGCAAGGUAUCCAUAGUGAGAGAAGGGGCAACAAACAAUAUAAAAUGGCAAGGUAUUCAUAGUAAGAUCAAAGUGGCAGUCGAUAUAUUUGUUGCAAGGAUUAAAACAGGUGGAACAUAUUUUGAUUUUUGUUGAUUAAGUAAAAUACUUAAAUAGCAAGUAUUUUGAUCCAACUGAAUGAAAUUUUGUUCUUUUAACCUGUAUUAAGUAAACUCAUUCAUAGUCAUUAGGAAUUAAAUUCAACUAUUUUUUUUUCCACCAAAUUUUGAUAAAAAAUAAUAACUAUUAGCCAUUUUCAAUAGUAGUGUGCAAUGGAUGAUUAAAACUUCCAGUUCUUAGUUUUAUACACUGAACACAUGCAAAUUUCUUGGUGGUUGGCUUUUUUCUUUGUUUUUAAAAUUUGAAUCAUUACUGAUUUUGAUAAAUUGAUUUUUUCUUUUCAACACCUGAUUGCCAAUGGAAAUCUCGUUAUUGUGUAUCAGAGACUUAACAACAUAAAGACCACCAAAGUAUGUGAUGGUUCUAAACAUCAUGAGUGGAUUAGAAAACCAUUCAGAUCAGAGGUAUUUGACAGCAAGUGUUGAUUUGUUUAUUUGUUAGCUCAUUCCUAUUCCUGAGUUGUGGACAUUAGCUGGUUUUAAGCCACAUAACACAGAUUAUAUAUAUUGCAGACAUAAGCUUUGUGGUUUCAUUUUUUGGAAACUGUUCUUAAGUGUGUAGUUCUUGAGGAAGGAAGUGGAAGUGGAUUUCUCAGCACCUCAUUGGAGAGCUAUUGGACAAACUGGAGAUGCUAACACAUUUGACUUCCAUGACAGAUAGAUAGAGCUGCCUCG